Molecule: ribosomal RNA, 415 nt
Filed under: Marinitenerispora sediminis
Lineage: Bacteria; Bacillati; Actinomycetota; Actinomycetes; Streptosporangiales; Nocardiopsidaceae
Description: bacterial SSU rRNA
Rfam family: Bacterial small subunit ribosomal RNA
Source: RNAcentral
CUGAACCAGCCAAGUAGCGUGCAGGAUGACGGCCCUAUGGGUUGUAAACUGCUUUUAUAAGGGAAUAAAGUGAGUCUCGUGAGACUUUUUGCAUGUACCUUAUGAAUAAGGACCGGCUAAUUCCGUGCCAGCAGCCGCGGUAAUACGGAAGGUCCGGGCGUUAUCCGGAUUUAUUGGGUUUAAAGGGAGCGUAGGCCGGAGAUUAAGCGUGUUGUGAAAUGUAGACGCUCAACGUCUGCACUGCAGCGCGAACUGGUUUCCUUGAGUACGCACAAAGUGGGCGGAAUUCGUGGUGUAGCGGUGAAAUGCUUAGAUAUCACGAAGAACUCCGAUUGCGAAGGCAGCUCACUGGAGCGCAACUGACGCUGAAGCUCGAAAGUGCGGGUAUCGAACAGGAUUAGAUACCCUGGUAGUC